GUGAGAGGAUAAAUCACCUUCCAAAUGUCACAUAACAGGUUUGGGCCCUCAUGGGUGACAGAAAAGUCUCACAGUACUGGUUCCUGUUUGAACACACAUGUUCGCUGUGUCUCGCCUUGCAGUGGGAGGACAGAGAAGGCUGGAAUCACCGCAUUCCCAUAGCAAGGGCAAUCUUUAAAGGCAGUAAGGUGUGACGCUCCAGACUGGCAGCUUGGCAAGACGGAGCCCAUGGAUACCAGCACACGGGAAUCUGGACCGUUCACUCUGACAGCAGUCAGCACUGGGAACAAAAGGAAUGGGGGAAAAAAAGCGCAAAUGUAUUUUUACAUAUUGUAGGCAUAUGGCCACAAGACCAGCAGAAAUAUAUUUAAUUACCAAUUGCGUGCAUUGAGGAGAAAAACACUA
Long non-coding RNA from Lontra canadensis (Northern American river otter), 405 nucleotides. RefSeq lists it as uncharacterized. The transcript has 3 exons. Lineage: Eukaryota; Metazoa; Chordata; Mammalia; Carnivora; Mustelidae. The record is from RefSeq and is a predicted model, not a curated record.